GUCGUCGUGGCCGAGUGGUUAAGGCGACAGACUUGAAAUCUGUUGGGCUCUGCCCGCAUAGGUUCGAAUCCUGUCGGCGACG
Molecule: non-coding RNA, 82 nt
Organism: Ciona savignyi (Pacific transparent sea squirt)
Lineage: Eukaryota; Metazoa; Chordata; Ascidiacea; Phlebobranchia; Cionidae
Source: Rfam